Molecule: unclassified non-coding RNA, 257 nt
Filed under: Hevea brasiliensis (rubber tree)
Lineage: Eukaryota; Viridiplantae; Streptophyta; Magnoliopsida; Malpighiales; Euphorbiaceae
Source: RNAcentral
AACUUUGAUUUCUCGUAAGGUGCCGAGCGAGUCAAAAUAAUAACAUCGCCCGAUCCCUAGUCGGCAUAGUUUACGGUUAAGACUACGACGGUAUCUGAUCGUCUUCGAUCCCCUAACUUUCGUUCACUGAUUAAUGAAAACAUCCUUGGCAAAGGCUUUCGCAGUAGUUAGUCUUCAAUAAAUCCAAGAAUUUCACCUCUGACAAUUGAAUACUGAUGCCCCCGACUAUCCCUAUUAAUCAUUACGGCGGUCCUAGA